CCGCCCAGAGGUAAACGGGUGGAUCCGCAAAGUCGGUCCGCGGAAUUCAGCGCGGCGCGCGGUCCGGGGCUGCCGCUGUUCGGGAUCCUCUGGGAACCAGCAGCGGUGCCGAGCCGGACUCCGCCGCGUGCACUUUCCGCGGGCAGAGAGCCACAACCGGUUUGGUGGCGGUCACAAGCCCGGAGGGUUGUCGGUGGGGGCGCUCGCGUCCCUACCAGCCCUCCGCGGUGAGUCGCCGCCGGACCGAGGAACCGCCGCGCGCUUCGAGGCCACCCUCCCUUCCGGGUGAGUUCGACUGGGAGAGACUGGGCAACCGUGUCUCCCGACCGCUCACUCGCGACUGGCGCGGGGCUGGCCGGGCGAGCACUUGGGUUGGUGGCAAGUCUGUCGGCAUUCCACCCGACCCGUCUUGAAACACGGACCAAGGAGUCUAACAUGCGCGCGAGUCAUUGGGCGGUACGAAACCCAAAGGCGCAGUGAAAGCGAGGGCCUGUCAAAGGGCCCAGGUGGGAUCCAAUCGCUUCCUCGGCCCUUCG
RNAcentral lists this ribosomal RNA (536 nucleotides) under Hemiplecta retrorsa. RNAcentral describes it as "partial large subunit ribosomal RNA". Lineage: Eukaryota; Metazoa; Mollusca; Gastropoda; Stylommatophora; Ariophantidae. The record is from RNAcentral. RNAcentral also lists the same sequence under 1 other name.